CAUGCUGGUACCAUUUUGGCAUAGUGUUUGUACUAGUUGGUUCAUGGUAUUAGCACUCGGUACACCCCUGCACCAAGUAUUGAUUCACCAUUGGUAUGGUAUCUAUGCCCAGUACAAUAAACCAUAAUGCUAAAUUGGUAAAUGCUAUAUUGAAUAAAGUAAUUCGGCCAUAAGAGGAUUGCUUUUCUCCUUUCAUUUGGCUUGUAUUCUGAUGUGUCUCCAUAAUCAGCACCUCAAUAUUCAAGCUUGUUAGUGGCAAAAGGCAACCCUUAGUAUCGAGGUUUUAAAUGUUGGUACCGAAUCCUAUACUGUUUUAUUAUCAGAGUGGUAUGAUACUGAUAGUUUGAUACCAGCGGCAAAUACCAAAAUCAACACCAUCAAAAAGCAUGAAAAAUCAUUGGUAUUGACUAAUAUGGUUAGCAUGAUACCAUUGAUAUGCAGUAUCAGAUAUUGGUACUUUACUAGAAUGGAUGGUUUUGGCAUCCGUAUCAGGGCUGAUUUUGUGUUAGAAUGGUUCAAUACCAUACCGACCCAUGGGUUUUAAAUUUGUGCUAAAUAUUGAUCUUGGAAAGUCACUAGGUAGUUUACGAUGUGAUGCACUAUAUGAUAAUUAGUUAUUGCCUGUAAUUCUGAUUGCUUCCCCAAUGUCAUUCUUUUCAAAUUCUCAAACAAAAAACUUUGAAUAACCUUUUAGCCACUCAGUAAAGGCCCACAAUGCUAAGUGUCCUAGAUUGUAGUAACAAAUGUUUAACCUAAUUAAGCUCCAAUUUAGUAAACCAUCCUGAUGUAAUCUUGAGUACAGAGUUGCAUGAUUUUGUAGUAGAGAGGAAAGAAAAUAGGAGUAGAAGGAGAACAAGAUGAGAAAAGGAAAAGAAAGUAAGAUAGGGAUGUGAAUCCACCAUAAGAGAAAUAUUUUCACUCAAAAUUCAACCAUAAUUUCUCUUGAUCAUGAUAAUGGCCCACUUAUUAAGCAAUUGAAUUGGUGUUUGCCUACACUAGAAAUUUUAAACUUCUAGCUUUAAGUAAACACUCAACUCAACUCAACUAAGCCUUAAUCCCAACUAGGUGGGGUGGGCUACAUCCUUUUUCUCCAUUCCUCUCGAUUUAGGGCCAUGCUUUCUGAAAGAUGUUGAGAUAUUAAGUUUUUCUUAAUACUUCAUUCCAUGUAAUUUUUUUGUCUACCUCUAUCUUCUUCAUUCUUUUAACAUGUAUCAAAUCACUUUUGGUACUGGUGCAUCCCUCAGCUUAUGUUGUACAUGCCAAAUCAUCUAAGCCCUUUCAAUUUAUCUUCAAUUGGUGCUACCUUCACCUUUUUUUAUAAACCAUUGAAGUCAUCUUUCUCUCAAACCGACGCAACGGGAAGGAAGAAGGGGCGAUUAGAUUGACGAGGAUAUGUUCAAAGAUCAACACCCAAAUAGACGGAAAUUGGAUUGAAGAAUCCUUCACUUGGGAAAGAAAUUCUCUCAAAAGAAAUUUUAUUAAUAUCUCAAGUGCUGCUCAUCACAAUGUAUUAUGCGCAUAUUUAUAGGUCAUUACACCAUAACCCUAAUUCAUGUAUUAAACCCAAUACAACAUCAUACUCGAAAUAAGACUCGACAAUAAGAAAAUAUUCUAGAAUUAUUCUAUUACAAAUAUGUGAACCUGGCUAAAAUUUGAUACUAUUUUUAAUGAAAAAUUUAUAAGAAAAUUUGCCGAAAAUCUCUUGGCAUGGCUCAAAUAUUUGUUUACUGCAGUCUUCACCCUCGAAUCUACUGGCUCUUUUGACGCUUGGCAUGGUCUAAUUGGUCAUAGUACUUGUUGGCUGCACCCUGUGCUGCAUCACAAUCUAUUCGUUAAUUGGUGCUACCUUCAUCUAUUUUACAAAUAACUUCAUUUUUUAUGCAAUCUUUUCUUGUAUUACUAUAAACAUUCUCAUUUCGGCCUCACUUAUCUUGUGUGUAUGUUGUUUUCUAACUGCCUAAUAUUCUAUACCAUAAAAUAUAGCUAACCUUGUGGCUGUCUUGGAAAAUUUUUUCUUCAACUUGGUAGGUAUCCUAUGUUACAUAAUAUUCUAUUUGCACUUCUUCAUAUCAUCCAAUCCGCUUCAAUCCUAUAGUUAACAUCCUCUUCAAUCUCUCUCUCCUUCUAAAUAAUCAAUCUCGAGUACCAAGAUGAUCACUUUUAGGAACUUAAUGAUCCUCAAUUUUCAUUCCAUCUUCAUCUAUAUUUCUAAUUUUACUACAACUAUGUUUCAUGUAUUUUAUUUUGGUCCUACUAACCUAAAACUCUUAGAUUCUAAUGCACUCCUCCAAAAUUCCAAUUUACGGUUAACCUCGAUCUUAGUUUCAUCCACUAAGACUAUAACAUCCAAAAAAAAAGCAUUCAUCAAGGAAUAUCAUCCUAAAUAUGCCCAAUAAGCCAUCCAUAAUUAGCACAAAAUGAUCAUUCUUAGCUUGAAGUAAACAAUGAUGAAAAUAUAGAAGGCGGUACUGUCCUGAACCAUCUGCUUCAGGGCGUGCCUAACUGUACCGGGGGCGGACUGACUUGAUUCCGCCCCACUGUUUGAGAAAUCCAAUGAGGGAGGGGGAGAGGGAGAAGGAAAGAGAGGAAGGGAGGGAGGAAGUUAAUCAUAGACUCUCUCCCUCUCUCUCUUCCUCUCUUUUCUUCUCCCUUUCCCCUCGCUCGCCGGCUCUGGCUGUAUUAGUACGGGCCUAGAACAGCAUGGUACCAUACCAUAUUGUACCGCCAAGCAACCGGUAUGGAUCUUGGUACCGACACAUUAUACCUUGGAUGAAAAUGAAGUACUUCAGGUAAGCUGCGGUUAAAUUGAUAUAUUUUGAGGUAUAUAGUAUGGGGUAAGUCAAUUAUAGACUUGAAUCAAGAGCUCCUGAGCAUAGUUCACUUUUCUAUGAGGAUGCUAUCAGUAGAUGACCAUUUCUAGCUAACCUCUGCAAAACAUUAUCGGUAACAUCUAGUUAGAAAUAUAUCAAAUUGAUGCUAUAUGAUUAUUCUAACUUUUAAUUUAAUUCUUUAUGGGUAAUUGUAGAAGAAAAAUUGAUUUUUCAUUUAAGUUAUUUGAUACUUUUUUUGUAGAUUACUGAUGCUCUCUAUGCAUGGGCAUAUGUUGCAAGAUUUGGCGAACUACUAGGCAAGAAUAUUGAGCAAGAUCCAUCAGUUGUGCUGAGUCUGCAUACAUAUUUUCUAAAAUUUUGGAUGUUGUUGAAUGUACCAUUACGACGGAUUGAACAAAAUCAAAGGUUGUGUUUAAAAUAAAUAACAGUCUCCCUCCACCUAUGCUUUGGUUUCUUGCUCUUCUUUGUAAUUUCGGUUAUUUGGCUUCUAAUUUGCGAUUAUACUGCGAGUAGGUCACAUGCAUUAAGCUACAAAGAACUAAAAAAUAGGGACUUAUUUGACCUCUCUGUCAACUGUUGGUUUUUCAAUUUAGUUUUUUCAUUCCAUUUGGCUUGGUAGGAUAUAUUAUUUGGAUGCUUAUCCCCAAGGAUCUCUUUUGGAGUAGAAACUCCUGCAACUUAUAUUAGAAUUUAAGAGGCUGGUUCUUUCUAAAAGCCCGUUAGCAGAACUAAAGAUUUAUCUACUACUUGAAGCGAAAGCUCAUCUGACUAGCAGUAAUUUAAAAGUGAGUUGGUAAUUAUUCUACUUCAUCUAUAUGCAAACAUCAAGGCUAGAUAACCUCCUAUUGACUCAUUGAUGUUAAUGCAUGGAACUCAAUUUGUUAUGUGAGUCAAUCGAAGCUUUGUUCAGCUUGUUGUUUGCCUUGCAAGUGUUUUGAGUAUAUGGAAAAUAUUCAAAAAAACGAGAAGAUGAGAGUGCUUGCCAACCAAUGACAUGGAUUUACAUGACUGAAGGUGUCAAGAAUCAUCUUUUUAUGUGCUAUCUGUCAUUUCCAAAUAAAGAGACAUCAAUGAUUUUUUACAGAAAAAAAUAUUUAACUCAUCACACUUUAUUAUUAGCUGUCACAAGCUGUGUGGUAUUGUAUACAUUAUACAUGCAGAUACAUAUGCAUGUAUAGUUGUAUAUGAUUGUUUGCCAUCUGUAACAUCUGAAAUGGACAAUGAAAAAAGGAUUAACAUUUGCAUCCAGUUGCCAUCCUAUGGUCAACUUUUAACAGAAUGAUAUGACGAUUUAACAUGCUUUAUUGUUUAGAAGUAUCUAAACCACUUAAUUUUGGUUCAUAUGCAUUGUAACAGAGGUAGAUCAUUGGCAAAUGGUGUAGGUUUUCGAUUUAACCAGGCUCAACCAGUACUAUCCAUUUUGUGACAGCCUGAGUAUGAAACAUUUGACAUGUGUCUUUUUUAAGAUAUAAUGAGCAAUGUGAAUUCUCACUGGGGCCGGCUUAUCAAAUAAUUUGCACUUAUUUGAUUGAUCCAAUCUGAAUUCCACUUAGUAGAGUUUUGGUCUUUCCCUCUCUCUCUUGUGAAAAACAGACAUGCGCACAUACAUACGAGCACAAACAUGUACAUUUAAGAGGAUCAUACAAUAUUAGGAACUGAACCAAAUUGCAUGCAAUACCUCAUCUUAUGAUACAAAUAUAUAUGUCUUCAUGCAGUUCAUGCAACUUUGAUGUUUCAGGAGUUUGAGCAUAAGCAUAGACAAUAUUGAGCUCAAGGUUUAAAAUAUGGGUAUCACUGUCCAUAGUCAAGGUCGGCAAAACCGUCCCAAAUCAGGCGGUUCCGGCCGACUUGAGCCGUACCGGUGGCUCACCGGUAUGGAUCCGGCAACGAAAAUGAGAUCCAUUGCUGGAGCUGGAGAAGGAUAAGGAAAGAGAGAGCGAGCGAGGGAUGGAGGGAGAGGUGGAGGACGCCGUUGGAGGGCCGUGGGGGGAACUGGCUGCGCCUUGCCUGCCGCGGCCACCGCCCCCCCCCCACGCCCUCCGUCGGCCCGCCUGCGGCCCUCCGCCGGUGUCUGCCACCCUCCGCUAGCCUCUCUCCCUCUUCUCUCUCUCUCUUUUUCGCUCUCGCACGGUACCGAUAAUCUCUCUCGGUACAAACCCGACACGGUCCAUACCGAAUCGUCCUGCUGGAGAACCGGUACGGUGCCCGGUACUGGUUUCUUUGACCUUGGUCCAUACUAUUAUUUUUUGGGGACAAUACAGUUUUAGGAUAUAUCGUUCUAUCUCUUGGUAUGGUCCAAUAUCCUAGUGGAGUCAUAGGAUGUUUUCUUUUUUUGAUUUUAUAUUUUUUGUAUUUUUCAAUUUUUAUUUUUUUUAAUCUCAAAAUGAUUUGUUAGUGAAAAUUUUUUCCAUGUUCAAGUGUUUUUUAAGGCAAUGAUGGGAUAUGAAUUCAAUAAUAUUUAUAAAAAUUUGUCAUUAGUUCACUAUUUUUCUUAUCCUUUGGCCCAUUAGUGGAGAAAAAAGAAAGAUGGCAAAACAAAAAAACUGGUUUUUUGGGGGGGGUGGGGGGCGGUGUAGGGUGGGGAGGGAUGAAGCGUUACUGGAUGGAUGACGUUUUUAGUGUCAAGGAGACUGGAUGGCAUCAAGGAUAUGCUGGAUCUACCCUUCUUCCCUUCCCCUUUCCCAUCCUUCUCUUUCUCGCGAUCUCUUUAUGCCUCUCUUUCUUGGUUUCCAUCCAUAGGAAACCCUCGUGAUGAAAGCAAAGGAAAAGAGGGUGUGGUCCUCCUAGCUCUCUUUUUCCCUUUAUUUUUUCCCUCAAUGGGCCAACUUGGUCUUGCUGUGCUUGGUACCGGCCCAACUGACUUUGGUUACCAUCCCAUCCUGAUUAGAUUUGGAUGGAACUUCUGGAUCCAGUUAAGGAUUGAUGUCCCACACACCGUAUUGGUCUUGUUGUCCAUCAUGAUGGUAUGGUACUGGUGGUACUGUCUUGUUUUUGUGGGUCUCUAACCCUUGAUUAAGCUCAUAGUUUUCGUAGAUGCCUCCUGGCUGUUCUUGUUUUCUAGAAGGGAUAGACCUUAAAGGUGCAUCAUGUAUAUAGUAAAUGUCAGUGUAUUUAUAUCCCCCUUAUUUCUAAGGAAACACCUUUGCUUUUCUUGAUCUGUGUUGUCAAGUUAUUCAAUCUGCUCUAUGAUUUUUCAUUAAUCUAUAUUUAGUUGUUAGAGACAAAUCAAACUAGUUUAUUAAAUACUCAUACAUGGCAGAUCCAUGCAUAUCAAACGACCAAAUUUUGGAUGCUAUUUUCUUGCCUUAGGUAAUUCGCAUGGUCAUGACCCCAGUCAACUCAAGUCAUGGUCAUCUCUUCAAAUCAUGAUUUAAAGUAAUUUUGCUUUUAACACGGACAGUUUCUUCUAAAGAAAUUUGAUAUUUGACUUUACCUUUAUUUUCCUCCAGUUUGACAAUGACGCGAAUAAGUGAGGGGAAAAUGUUUCAUUCGAGUGUUUAAAUGUUAUCAUGAACUUCAUUAUUCUUUUCAGUACUUGCUGACGUGUUUUAUAUCUUUAUCACUUUCUUCUUGAAGUUCUUUCAAGGCUGAAAUGAUUCGAUCUUCUAUCAAUUAUCUAGUUUGUGAAUCUUGAUUGAUGUCUUUACUCACCAAGACUUGCUUAGGUGAUUUUUAUUGCUUUUACUGCUGAACUUGCAGUUCUGAUCUUCUUUGCGUCUCAAAUUACUAUUCCUCAAAAUAUGCAGCUCAGAUAUGUGCAACUUUGGAGAUUAUACCUGUGAGUUCCUUUUCAAUAUGAGACCCCAAUACACACUAUCAUUUAUUUAGAUCUUAAAUCUUUAUCAUAUCAUUUUCCUUAUAUUCCCAUUUCAUCAAUGAAUACAAAACUUGUCAGUUACUCUUUCAUUUCUUGAACUUUUAUAGGUCAUUCUGCUUGGAAUAUAUAUGGAUGAUAACUUACAAGCUCAGCAGCCGUUUCACCUAUUGAGUCGUAUUGAUAAAGAUAGUCUUCCAGAAUUUAUGCAGGUAUUUGUGCAUCUGUGUGAUGUAUAAUGGAUUUUCUUUUCUGAUAUUUUCCUAUGAAUUAUUAUUGCUGCAAUUGGAUAUAGUGAUCAUUGAUGAGGGGAUUGAAAUUUGAUGGUGUAUUUACAGAUUACUCCUGCUGCUCCUAUGUAUAUAAUUCUUCUUAUAUAUCUAUAUUCUCAUUCAGUUAUCUUUCCAAAUUUACAUUCAUGGUUUGUCCUAUUGUUUUACAUUACAAGGAGUCAAGGACCAAGAUUGUCAUUGUUUUGAUGCAAUGGAAUUUCAUGGAAAAAAAAUACUGAGGAAGUUUAAUUGUUGGAAGGGCAAUUGAGCUAACAUUGUCAUGCAUUGCAGUUGCUAUGCUUAACCUAUAUACAACCAAUCUAGUGGAGUAAUGAAGCAAUUGAAGGGCGCCAUUAACAUGGGAUGGAACUAUCCUAAUAAUUCAGUUCUCAUAGAAAGUAAUAAAGAUGCCAAUUGAAAUUUAAUCAUGACAGUUCAACUGGUAAUUAUGUCUUCACCCCUGCAGUAGCCUGAAUCUUGAAAGUUGCAAAAAGAGACUUGCAGAUCUAUGUUGGCAAUAGGUUAUUUAUUGCAAGGAUGGCAAGGUGUAUAGGCUGGACAGUUAAAAUUAAUUGUUAGGUCUCUACAAAAUCUUCUCAACAAACUCAGCGGAUCUGCUUGUCUUAAAGCCCUAUGACCCUCCUAGGGUUUUUUAUAGUAAUAGGUUUAAUCAUGGUAUGCCGUACUGGCUCGAACCGGACGGUACGGGCCGUACUGUACCGGUUCAGUAUCGGUACUCGGUAUGGGUGGCGUAUUGAUACUUGAUAUGCCAAAAAAACUCUGUACCAUACGUACCAAUCAAGGUCCGCUGUACCGGUACCGGUCGGCGUACCGGUGGCGAACCGGUAAAAAUAAAUUACUGGUACCGGAUUUCAUGCUGAUCCGGUACCGGUCCCAGGUCGGACCGGUACGUACCGGCUUGGAACCGGUACGUAUCGGCCGGUACGGCAGACCAUGGUACCGAUGCUGCGCUAGUGUGGCACCGAUACGAGGUUUGGUAUCGAGACGGCGAACCUUGGGUUUAAUAGUUUAGUAAACCAAAAGCAGAUAAUGUGGAAAAGGAAAGAGAGAAGGCAGGAAAGAAACCUGUUUUGAUAAAAGAAAGAAAGGAUUCUAUGGCUGAAGAAUGGCUUGAGGGAGAGUAUUGGGCACAUGUCUAGAAAAAAGAAUAGAAAACAGAAAGGGGCUGACCCUCUUUAUGUUCCACACUGUCCUACCACUUAGACCCUCUCCCUUCAGUGCUGUUGGAUGGCCUGUUUUCUCAUUGAAAUGCAUCAACUUUAGUCAUCAAAAACUUAUAAAAUUUGAGCCCAAAUUAUGUAGUGCAAGAAGCAUCAGACAACAAGUCAAUUCUAAAAAAGAACUAUCUAAUACCCAACAAAAGAAAGUGAACCGUGGUACCCGAAUGAAAAAAAUUUAACUGCAGCAGGAUAUGGGAAAAACUUUGACUUUGGAUUCAAUGAUAUCUAACAUGCUAACAUACUAACAACUAGUUUGCACAGUGGCAUUGGAAUUUUGGAUCUAAUUCUACUAUUAAAUUGAUGUUUGACUUAUGGUUGCUACCAUAGUCGGUUCCGCCCGUACCGGUGCCGUACGGCUAUUAAAAUCGGUUUCGAACCAGAUUUGGGUGAGAACCGAUCGGUUCAUGGCAUGUAUCAGUGUGAACCGGCUCGUUUCGUACCGGUAUGGGGUGUUCUUCAUGGGAGAGCGCGUGGCUAAAGCCAGGCGUUAAGUGCCACGCACUAUUGCACUUUUGGUACGAUACCGGUUCGACUCGGUUCGGUACUGGUACCAUAGCGGUACCGGCCGCACCGGUAUAUCGGUACGAUCAGUACAGGAAACCUUAGUUGCUACAUAAAUUAGAAAUUGCAGGUACUUGAUAUAGCAACAAUUUUAUCAAAAAGUUUCUGCUGCUUUUUUAAAAAAAAAUAAUAAAAAAAUUCCCUAUAUUUCUUCAAACUCAUUUGUGAUUCUGGUUGGGCUUGAUCGAGUAUAGAUGCUGUUCUUCAGAUUUAUUAGUGGUCCGCUAAUACUUUAAAUCGUUUAUUGUAGUUUGUGUACAUAUAUCAAGGUUUUACAUUUCGGAGGGACGGGGCCCUCCCGGUAGUCCUGUCCCGUUCUUGUGAGAACGGGACCGAGACAAGGUCAGGACUCAGGAACUGAUCCAUACAAGGAGAGAAGAAGAAAGACGAAAGAAAGAAAGGAAGAUGAAGAAAAGGAAAAAAUGAAAGCAAAGAAGAAGAAGAAAAAUAAAAAAAAGAAAGGAAGGAAGAAGAAAAAGAAAGGAAGGAAAGAAGGAAAAAAGGAAAGAGAAAGAAGAAGAAAAAGAAAAAAAAGAAAAAAAGAAAGGAAGGGAUAAGAAAAGGAAAAGAAAAGGUAAAGGAAAGAAAGGAAGGUAGAAGAAAAAGAAAAGAAAAGAACAAAGGAAAGAAAGAAAAAAAGGAAUGAAAUAAAUGAAAGAAAAAAAAGGGGAGAGAGUUGGAGGAUAUAUACUAGGAUGCAUGUCUGGCACUGCUGCCGGGAUAGAAUGGGACAGUGGGGCGUCCCAUUCCAUGGAGAAACCGGGACACCUCCAUCCCACAGGAUUUAAAGCCUUGGUAUGUAUUCAUAUGUUGGACCAUUUAUAUGCUGCAUGUGUAGAAAAUUGUGCUGUGGGAUUUACUAAUUCACCUUUAUGUAAUCAUAUACUUGAUAAAAGAAGAUGGAAAAGAAUAUAUCAGGUUGUAAGUAACUAGCUCCUUGUCAGAUGACUGUUGCUUAUAUUAUACCUGUUUUGGGACCUGAUACCAUCUUUCACUAAUAUCAAAGUGCCACCAGAUCAGGAUUCCUGAAUUCUGGUCGAACAUGGUUCCUAGUAUCAGAAAUUAUAUAAAUUGUAUAUUGUCUCUGAUUUGAGUAUGUCAUGUCAAUUAAUUAUGCUCAAUGCUCACAAGGCUAAUUUGGUAUUGACAAGUGACCAGAUUGAAGAAUAUGUGUGUCACUGAAGCCGCAAUUGAUAUUGAUUGCUUGCUCUUACUGUGUCCACUUAUGCUUUUGUAUUUCUGUAUUUUAUUAUUUUAUGUUGAUGGUUCACUUGUACUAUUGAUGCUGUAGGUGGAUCAACAACUCAAUUUAGCAAGGGCAGCAAAUAAAAUAUCUAUUAUCUCGGAGGUAAUUUUAACUAAUACAUAAUUUUGCUUUUGAAUUUCAACUAAUUGGAUAUGCAUGAUACAGAGAAAAUGUUAUACAUCACUAUCUGCUAAAAGUCAGAUAAAACUCAAGCAUUCCACAUGCUACAACUCAGGUUCACAUGCCAUUGUCUGUCCGGUACUACAGCAUGUAAUGAGAAACUGUCAUGAGUCAUGACUAUCUACUAUAAGAAAGUUAUCUACAGCCAUUGAAUGUAAUAUCAGAUUUAUCUCCUAAUGCACUGAAGUGUCUCUUUAUGUUCCAUGGUAUACUUUUAUUUAGUGCGGAAACACAUCAUUACCCUCUUAUUUUGUGUUCUUGGAUUCACCAUAUGAUCUAUGACCUGUCAUGAUAUAUUGUACAGUGCUUUAACAUAUGAAUUACUGCCAUACCAUGAUUAUGUGCUUCUUGUACGCCCUGUUUGGAUGCCAGAGUAACUUGUCCGGCGAUAAGAUGUGUUUUAAUCUGGAAACAGUCAAAUGAUCGUGAGUUUGAGGACAACAUAUGUAAUGGGAUGAGAGAACUUAACCAAAAUGGAAUAUACUUAUCAGCUUGUAUAAGGAAAAUCAGCUUUCAAAAUAAGCAAGUAUCUAUUUUUGGGGGACAGCGCAAUCAGGCACUUUCUUAUCAUCGGAGAUUCUUCUCCUCUGGCGCUUUCCCUUCCCUUCCAUCAUCUACUACUAGAAGGCGUUUAUUCAUGGACAGCUUAUUGGAGCUUCCAAACAGGGCCAUACUGAGGAAUUUGUGUGGUGCGAUUUAGGAAUCUCGGGUGGUGCUCUCGGCUAAUAGUUAUUUUUACACUUUAUAUUCUUUGACUAAUGAAUAACUUUUCACAAGAUCACCUUAGUAAGCUCAUGUCCUGCAUUAAAUCAACAAUUGCUUCAUUAGAAAUCUUAGCUAUAGAAAAGGAGAAAGAUGGGGCAGUGAUAUGAAUUGUUGAUGAGAUCCUUUCUCUACUUCAUGGCUGAUUGUGAUGUUUAAAAAAAUGGCUUGUAGUACUGCCAAAGGUCUAGUUCUUUUUCCCCCCUCUCCUUGGAGUGCUACUUUACAGAUAAUCAUAAUCAUUGAUUAUUAUCAAAAGAAGGCCGUUCCGGUGGGAUAUCCUGUAGGACACUGUGACAGGGUACUGUCCCAAGUGUCGGGAUAGGACCAUCAUGCCAUUAUCCGAACAUCUCGAUCGGCAUGUCUUGGGACAUCUCUUGUCCUAAGUGUUGGGAUGGGGCCGAAUAGUGGCGUGUCCCAUUCCGUAGGCAAAGUGAGCCAACCCUAUCCCACAGAAUUUAAAACCUUGAUUGUAGGUGGAAUCUCAUUUAACUACACCUUUUUGCAACACAUUGAUUAGCCCCAAUAUGAUUGGUUUGUUGUUCACUAUUUUGUAGUGGACUGAACAAUCUGAAACUUCACAAAGAAGAUAAUCUAGGCAAGAGAGUUCGACAAAAGUAGCCAAAAAAGAUCAAAAUUUAAGUUCAAUCUGGAUUGAGCAACUGUCCAUUGCUUGCAGGAGCUCCGAGAAAAGAGACACUUAUCCACAAAUGCAAAAGUUACUGGAUCAUUUAGAAUCAACCUUGAUCAACAUCCGAUAUAUUUUUCUCUUUCACAGUCUGCAUCUCUUUUCAGCUUACCAUAUAUUAACUAAUAUUGGCACAAGUGGUAAUACUUCAAAUAUUGAAUGGUUGUUAAGUGUCAAUUAGAAAACACAUUCUAUGAGGAAUACACUAGUACUUGAGAGGUAGCUCAAUUGACAUUAAUGUUGUCUUUGUCUCCAUCCCUUGUUACUUUUGCCAGGUAUUUGUCCUCUUCUCACUCUUUCGGAACAUCCAGUUUAAGACCAUAACCACAUCCAUAGUUUGUCGUACCAAUCGGUACGGGUCAGUACUGGCCGGUACGUACCGGUACCGGACGGAACUGGUACGGUACAGCUAUAUUUUUCGGUUCUGACUAUUCGCAAUCCGUACCGGCCCGUAUCGACCUCAAUUUUUUUUGGCUUUUGGCCCGAACCAGCCGAACCGGUACCGUACUGGUACCGGUGCCCACCGGUACAUCGGUAUGGUCGGUACAGCGGACCUUGACCACACCCCUUGUAUAUGUCUAGAAUCCAUUGAUGAAAGGAGCUAGGGAGAGCUUGAACCCAAUUCCAACAAUGAUGGAUGUAAGCGCAAUUGAAAUUUCUCGGGAGUUAUACAUUUGUGGAUUAAUAAAACCAUUCACUACUUGAAGCUUGGUCCUGCAGCCCCCCCCCCACACCGCACCAAGAUAAACCACAUAGCCAAGAGCAACCAUGAACCAGAAUAGAAGAGCUUGCCCCAUUCAUGAGUAAAUAUAUAGUUGUAGCCUCUCUAGACCAUACAUAUCUCUUGGUAUAUCAAGAUAAUAAGUAGGAAUAUAAACUGAAACAUUUUGGAGCUAUAAAGAUAGUUAUUGAAUUGUUAGCACCAAGGUAUGCCAUACCGUACUGAAUCGAGCAGUACAGGGUAUACGGUACAGGGCGUACCGACAGUCAGUAUGCCGAACCGGCCUCCAUACCGAGCAUACCAACAUAGUGACAAAGUGGCAUCGAUACGGGGCCUGGUACCGAGUCGACAUACCUUGGUUAGCACCACAUAGCUGAAAAACAAAAGGCAAAGAUUAAUAUAGAUUUGUUAUUUGUUGUGCAAAUGGAUAUCAUCCAUUUCAGAUAUCCUGAUAUUUUCUUUUAUCCAUGUUUUUUUUUGUUUAAAACUGCAUGAAAUGAAAAUUAGGCUUUGGAUUUAAAGAAGAUAAUUGUCGCUUCAGGGAGUGCUGCUCAUGUCAAGGAAUUUUCGUGGCCUUAUAAGUCUGGUACAUGUUUCUCUUGAUUUAAAUCUUCUGAGAAUAUCUUUAUUAAUUACUUUCUUAUCAGGGAAUGCUGCAUUAAAAUUUAGGAAUUAAAUUUACUCAGCUUGUUUAUUCAGGAAUACUAAAUUUGUUAUAACAGAAGCAAACUGAUUGGCUGUAACAUUUUGUAUCGUCAAUUGAUUAGUUUCUUUCUUUUUUUUGGAAAAUGGAUUGGCGUUAUAAGCAUGAUAACACGUGGUUUAAUCUACAUCUAAAUCUAUCAAUUUUGUAAACGUCAAGAUCUUAUGUUGCUAUUGGUUGAUGUAGACUUAUCACUCAUUGGUGUUUAACUUUACCCUUGCACAUAUAUUUUUUUAAUAUACUCAUCUAGGUGGGCUUUAGACCAUGAGCUCGGGUAAUUGAAUAUACAAACAUCAAUUCCUUGUGAAAUGAUGCUUUGGAGAUGAACCAAGACAUAUCUAUAAAUUAUCGGAGGAGACUGCAACAAUAAUAACAACAUAAUUAUAGGAGCACAUUGUUGUCAUUCAGCUAGGACGUUAACCCUGUUAAGAUAAUGUGUCUGAGUCAAGCCAUUUUGCUGCGAGCUUCCUAGUUGCAGGGAUAUUAUUUCCAAAUCAUUUUUAACUUUUAAGGCACGCGAUACACUAUUUCUUUCAAUUUUUCAUCGUACAAGUUACAACUAUUGACCAAGAUGGACGGGUAACUUUAUUUGAAUUUCUCCUGAGCUUGAUAGGGUCAACAUCUUUUGGUCUUUCCAAUUAUUUAUAUAUCUGGAUUGCAUUUAUGCUAUUGAAGACCUAAAAGCAGCAAAAGAAGAACUUGAUUUCAAGGGCACAGGUAUGUUGCCUUUAGAGAACUUAAAAGUUUAGUGCUUGACCAGGUUAGUAUCACCCUUUUGUGGUCCCUUGCAAUGACUUGAAACUCAGUGAAAAUGAGGAUGCAGAUUUUCAUUAAUUUUACUUAAGCAGAAAAUCUAAUUUAUAACUUUGUAGCGUCAAUAGAGGACAUAGGCACAUGGCAGUGGCAUUCUUUCUCAAAUCUCAUAGAAAAUUUUCUGUACAAGAUGAAUUACUUGGUGCUUCAUACGUAAUGGACUAGCAGCUGAGUAAGAGAGAACAUAUAAUUUAAUUGUUUUGUGUGUUUAGGCUGAUGCCAGUAAGGUUUAUGAUAGCAGAAGGUAUAAUUGAUGAAGGUCCAUGAGAAAUUUCUAAAAUCAUGUAAGAUUGGUUGAAAAUUCUGGAAGAAUUUAACCUUUAUUCUUUGGCGUUAAUUUUCAGAGUAGUAUAUAGCUUACUAGCCGAGGUCUUCUAUCUAAUGUAAUGCACCCGCUUCGCAGUCUUCCUUGAAUAUUGAACCCACGGUGGCUUCCUAAACGCUUCCUUACGAAAUGUGUUUCUAAAAUAUCUGCUUCCUCGCAUGUGUACCUGCAUCCCCUCCUGCUAUUCCCGAUUCUAGCAACUAAGUUUUGUAGCAAUAUUUGAAAGAAUUUAAGAAUGAUAAGGGUUUCACAGCUGAUAACUAUACUGAAAAAGAGGACAUGGUUUUUAGCAAAUUGGAGGGCUUUCAGCUUUACUAAUGAUGGGAGAGAAGAUUUAAGUUUAAUCUACCUGAAAAAUAGCAAAGCCUGGUAUUUUGAGCCUUUAAGGGGCAAAUCAAAACUGAACACCACAUAACAGCUUUGAAGCGCUUUUAUGAAGCCAGUUAUUUGUUAUCUUCAAGGAGGGCGUGAAGAUAGCUCCUAAGGAAGUUCUUCAUCAUCAUGAGUUAUAUUUUAUUUUUCCAAGAAGCUAAUCUUGAUCUUUUGGGGGAGGAUGUGCUUGAUGAUAAUUUUGGGGUUCUGGACGGGUAAUUAUGGAUUCCUUGCAAAAGUUAGUGGGUAUUCUUAUUUUUUUGGAUGAGAUGAAUACCAACGUAAGAUGAGUGGUGGUGUUUCUCCAUUAAAGAAAAAUGACCUAUAAGGUUUUGCUCACUUGGGAGGACCUUUUGUAAUGAUGAAGAAUUGGCUUUGUCCUUGGUUUCUUUAGGCUGCCGGAAUGUCUCAACAUCAUGUUUUGAGAAUAAGGGGACCUCCACGGUGGGAAUAUGAGGAGCUAUUGCAGUUCUUUUUUGAAUCUAUUGGUCCUCUGAAGUCUGAACCGUGUAUAGGGGAAUCACUUGUUUGAGCAACUAAUUUUGUUGAAUCUCUAAUUAUUUUCCACAAACUGUUAGCUUUCCACCUGUUGUGGUUCCUAUGCACUUUUUUUUUUGAAUUCUCAAGCAUGUUGAUUUUUUGUUUUCUAUGGUACAGGAUUUGGAGGACUGGCUAGAGGGGCAAGUGAGGAAGGAACUAUCAAAACGUCUAGAGAACAAACUGAAAACUUUUUUCUUGUUGCCCAAUGGUAUGUAGCUGCAAUUUAAACUUACAUUCUGAUAUUAUUGUACUAGGUAUCAGGUUAUUUUCUCUGCUCCAACUGAGCAAAAAUGUGAAUGACAUUAUGGCUAUGCAUUAUGGUACUCUCCUUUUGUAGAAUCACAUAGAUAAAUAUUAUCUAGUACUACCAAUUUUUAGUUGUUGCAAACACCUAGAUUGUCUAGCAAUGUUUAAGAUCUUGGUACCAUGGUACCGGUACCCAUACAGGUUGGGUGCCAGUCCAGUACAGUGGUGGUAUGCACCUUAUCAUAUUGGUACAUGGUACCAUGGUUGGUACCAGUACAACAGGCGGAUUUUUUUUUAAUUUUUGGCUAUAGGUAUAAAGGGCAUUCUGAGUAGUGAGUACCAGUUCAGUAUGGUAUGGCCAGUUCAGACUGGUUCAGCAUGGUACUGAAAUCCUUCUGCUCUGUUUUUAUUACCUUGUAAAAUGGUAGUAUCAUCUUACAGAAAGCUGACUUUAGCAUACAUGAAUGUCUACUAUUAUUGCUCUAUCAUCUUAAAAUGAAAUCAAAGUCUAUAUGAUGAUUAUUAUGGGGCCAAAUCAAUUAUGCUCUUCAUCCACAAGUUUUGGACAAUAUAUGUUGGAAACUAAUGUGCCCCCUCGAUACCAGUCUAAGUAUGAGCCAUAUGGAAUUGUUGGAAUUCUUUCUUGGUUUCAGGAUCUAUCCGUGGUUUUGCUUUAUAUACUUUUUGUCCUAUUCAAAAGCACUCCUUGGUGGUAGCAGAAAUAUCCUCCUGUGGUAUUUUGUCAAGGCUAUAAUGAAUAGCAAGAAGUUCAAUUUCUUCAGAACAAAUUAUUACCUACUGAUUUAGGGCAUUCUCGUUUGACUUAUAAUGAAGUUCAAAGAGGUGGUGCCCGAAAACAAAAUUCUAUUCAUGGAAGCUCAGGGUUACUUACUCCUCUAGAAUUGUGGAAAACUUACAUUUAGGAUGAUUACAUAGCAUCUUGAUGAUUAGACAAUUAGUAAAAAUGGGAAGCAUGCAAUUUUAAAAACUUUUAUAAUCCAAUAUGCAAAUCUGAGUAAGCACACACAAAAUCUAAAAUCACUGGUAGAGUAAGUGCCAGACUAUCUCUUUAAAGUUUUAACUGUUGAUUAACUGACUGUUUGCUUAAACAAUACACAAGUGAAAAUAAGAAAAAAUUUUAAACAAAUCUUUUUGGGGGUUGUGUAAUUUUCAAUGUUUAGAAAUGCUUAUUUGGAGGUUGUGGUGUCUCACAUGUUGAGGCUCGGCAAUCAAAUAACAUGUAUAGCUUUUCCAUAAUCAUAAUCAUGCAUAGCUUUUCCUUUUUAACUUAAAAAGGAAAAUUCAUCUAUCUUACCUUUUAAUCCUUACACCUCAGGAUUUAAGUCUGGCUUGACUAUUCCGCCUUACUAAAGACUGGUAGUGAAGUUUCAUCAUCUUGCAUUUACUAUAUGAAUGAAAGUUUAAGGCUUUGGUUACAAUCAGUAGGUAAGAGAUACUAUGAUGUGGUUGUGUUAACUUUGGAUCUACUACACAAUAGAAUGGAGACUGGAGAGCAAGAUGAAACUACAUCAAGUGGAAUUAUAGCUAGGUGGAUGGGUGAAAGGAAAUCUCUAGGGUGUUACGUGAUCAACAUAUGGCAUCAUGACUUAAGAGUAAAAUUUUGCUGUUUAGGAGUAAGGCCUGCCAAAUAUUGUAUGAUUAGGGUGUUGGGAAGUAAAGAGGGUCCAUCAUGAAUGAUGGAUGUGACUAAUAUGUCAUUGUUGAGAUGGAUGUGUACAUAUUCGAGGUACAGGAGUUGCAUCAUUUGAGGACAAAUUGAAAGAGGUGAGAUGACAUGGACAUGUGCAAUGAAAAACCAAGGAGGUGCUGAUAAGUAAUUGCUAAAAUUUGGGUAAAAGGAAUAGCAGAAGGAAAAACCUAGGAUAAAAGUUGUGAGAAAUGAUUUUUUUUUUUGCUUGCGGUUAAAUUUAGAGGGAACUCAGGGAACCUUUAAUGGGAAUAAUUAUCAUACAAAUGUCUGUAUAUCCACCCUCAAAUAGUUGGGAGAAGGCUAGAUGGUUAUAUUUGAUUAUGUAUUCCUUUUUUUGUUAAACAAAAAAAUGUGGAACUAAUGUGAGAGAUCCAUAGAGCUCCAUAGUAUUAAUAACGUUGUUUAACUUUCCACAGUUGGAUAUGAUAUUUUGGAAGUCAAUCUGAGGACAUUAUCAGCUUAUAUUCUUUCACAAUUGCAAAUGAUGGAAUCCUUUCAGGUGAUGAUUUAUAACAUUUGUUAUUAGUUUUGACAAUCAUAUUAUAUUCUUUCCAUUACUUUUCCAUAUUAACUAUCUCCAAUUUUUUAUCUUGGGUUUUGAUGUCGAUUUUAUAUCAGAUGUUGAGUAGCGUAUACUUAAUAUGUUUGUGGUUGUCUUUGCUUGCAAUAUGGUUACUUGGUUAUCAAGAAUGUAAGAGAUCAACUUCAACUAAUAAUAAAUGCCUUUUUAAGCUUCAUCUCUUAUUAUGGAAAUCGUAACCUUGUCCUUUGGAGUGACAGUGAAGUUAGGCCAAUGUGCUCUCUUGAAGAGAUUUUUGGAUUGGAAAUAAUGUAGCAUUGUAUUCUCCUUCUAUUCCUUAUCUCUUCUAUCAACUUUUCUCCUCAAAUUCAAGUUUAUGUUUAUGGUUGGUUGUUGUAAGGUCACAUGGGACUCCAAUCUACAUCAAUUGUCACAAAAAAUAUCAUUGCUUUCUCUAAUUAGGUUUUCUGUAUUAAGUUUUGUUUUAUCAUAUUUUGAGAUGUGGAUUAGUAGUUAGAUGAGGAAGUCAUCAUUGUCAUCACUCAUCGUCACCAUCAUCCAAGCCUUUUGCUGUCAAAUUAGUUUGCUAAGGAGUGUGAAUUUUAAGUGGAAACAGCCCUAUGAAAAUUUUGAACAAGAUUUAGAAUUGACUAUCGGCCGUAUGUCAAUCCUCAAAGAAUUGAUGUUGAGGCAACUUUAGGCAAGAGGAGGCUAAUUUGUAACCUAGAAGGUCAGCUAGCUGGUAAAAUAAAAUCUGCUUAUUUAUUGCAAUUUAAACUCUUGUAACUUUGGGGCAACCCUGCAAAACUCCCCUAGACAUUGAAAGAAUUAACUGAAGAGAGAAGAUAAUGAAGUUGAUAUACGGAAAGCUUUUGUUGUAUAUAGAAGUAUUCUAUAUAGUUUUCUAGUAACUUCAAUCAUAGUUUCUGAAAUCUAAUUUAUAAUGUGACACUUUAUUUUCUUUUUUUAGUGCUUCGAGUCCAGAUUAAAAACAUAUAUUUUUUCCAAUAUUUUUAGAUAUUUUUUCAGCUUUUUGUUAAUGAAUUGUGCAUACCUGUUUAAUUGUUUGCGUCACAUGUUUCUUACCUGACAAUGAUUUUUGUUUUAAUUAUUUCCCAUAUCAAUAGGUGGAGGAGGGAGUGAGUGAUACUUGUUGCUUUUGUACCUUAGGCUAGUAAAUGUUGAAGUGCUUAAAAUAUUUUCAUUUUCUUACAUAAAGAAUCUGUAACAUUAAAAGAAGUAAAAGAGAUCACACAUAAAAAAGUGCCAACUAUAAUGGUGAGAUUUCAUUUUUCCUUCUUUGUUUGGUUUCCUUGGCUUCUUUUUUAGUGGGGGGGUUGCGGGUGUUGUUUCUUUAGGGACAUCCUCAUUCAUCUCUUCAUCCUUAUAAAUCCAAGUUAGCUGAAGUGGUUUGUUUAGAAUCCCUUUUCCUCAUGCUAGCUACAGUUGGAGUUAUUCUUGUAUAUAAAAUGCAUUUGCUAUAUAUAGUGCCGAUCACCAAAUUCCAAAUGCUAGCUCUCGAUUUACAUCCUUAUAUACUAAAUAACAUUUUCUUGUUCAGCCAUUCUGCUUUCUACAAGUAACAUAUUUUCUUCUUUUGCAUGCCUUAAUGCACCCCUGCCUUUCAAAUUUUGUCGUCAUGCAAUUAUCUCCUCGAUCUUUGACCUAGUACUUACAUCUUUACUUCCAUUAUUAUAUACCAUUAAACCAGCUUCUUUUCUAUUAUUUUCCUUUCCCAUAUGAUGCAGCUCGUGAUCAGAUAUCAUCUUGACCUUAUUGUUAUAGCUGGCUGUUCUCUCAAUACUUUUAGUGGUCAAAAUCACGACAUUGUGACUGGCAAGCAGGCUAUGAUUCCACUAAGUGUGGUUGAUGUCAGUUGUUGAUGCAACCAGAUGCCAUUGGAUUGUAUUGCUAAAGGAGGGCCAGAAGAAGGCCAAAAACGUCAAUAUGAAGCAGAAAGGCUAUCUGUCUACCAGAGAGAAUCUUAGGAUUUGACCGCUGAACUGCCUCGGGUGUUCAGAUGCGAAAAGUUGAUAAUUCUUAGGAAAAAAGGAAAAAAUUGAUUUUAGCCUUUUGAGGGAACAGUGUAAAAUGAACAUGGACUUGUGGAAGAUCUUCGGUUGUUGAACUUGGUUGAAACAAUAGACAGUCACAACACUGACUCUCCACCACAAAUUCCAUAAAUAAUUUAGUUGGUUUGUUAAGAAACAAAUGCAGAUCGAUGGUGACAAGCCCUGAGGUGGUCAAGUUCCAGCAUCUUUUAACGAUUUUGGGGUGGGUUAUAAUUAGCAACAGAUGGCAUAGUUAGACUGUUGAUGUUUUUUGUUAACUAAUAAGCCAAUAUCAUGUGGAGGUGUCCAAGUUUAUUAUCAAGAGCUUGGGAGCUAAUGCUAUGUUCUGAUGCUACAUGCCUCGAAUAAGAAGUAUUCAAAGCAUGGUUCGCCAUACCGGCCCAAACCGGACAGUAUGGGGCGUACCGUACCGGUUCGGUACCGGUAUCUGGUACGGGUGGCGUACUGAUACUCAGUAUACUAAAAAGAUUUUGUACCAUACCGUACCGAUAUAGUGCCACUGUGGCUUCAGAACUGAGAUGGCAAAUCUUGAUUCGAAGUAUAAAAUAAUGCAAAAAAGACUAGCUAAUCAAGAGUAGGCUAUAUCUCCUCAAGUGUACAUAAUAAGUGACCUGACUAUGUAUUUACAUGAACAGUACGAUUGAAAAAUUAGUCUCUGUUAUAUUAAAGUAAAGAACAUAUGUAAGAAUUAUAAUUAAUUUUAUGAGAUUGUUCAUCUUGUGUAAAUUGGAGCCAGGUGUUGAGCAAGUAUGGUAAAUCUUACUUGGGUACCACAGCUCUAUGAUUGGAAUCGCGUUACAAUGUGGGUGUAUAGAUGCUGUUAAAAUUUGCUGUCACUGACUAUCGUUAAACCAUCCAAGUAAAUAUCUUGCCAUUCAUCCUUAUUAAAGUUCAAGUCCCCCAAUUGGACCUUGUUACUACUGAUUCAUUUUCAAAAUUUCUGUCUAGCUCAUUUAAGUUCCAUGCUGCUCCCCAUUAUUUCCGUCUCUUCUGUCCAGAUCUCAGUCCCUCUCCUUGCCAACACAUGUUCUAGUGUCCAGUGCAUAUGACUUAUAAGUCUUAACAAAUGAACCAUUAUUUUAUCCCAAGCUAAUCAAUUCUUGAGCUUCCUCCAAACUGCAAAUUUAUUUUUCAAACUUUACUAGCACAUCCAUGCAUCUUCCUCCACAAUUUCUGGUGUAAGCUCAUCUUCCCUCCACGAGUCACUGUAUCGCUAGAUGGUCAAAAAGCAUUCAAGAAAGACACCUUUAUUGUAUGCAUUUGGUUCUGUACCUUUCUUCGUGCAGAAAUGAUGAUGAAUAAUCAUUGCAGGAUUUACUUCAUAUACCUGGGAAUCGUAUUUGGGAAGAAACUUUUACCAAAGUUUUGAAGCAGUGUUUUGAAAAGGUAUAUCAUAGGCUACUAUUUUUUUCAUUCCUUUUUUUUUUAGCUAUAGAACAGUUGAAAUUUGAGUAUCGUAUGUGGUUUUUAUUCAUUUGGUUUUGAGACUGAACAGGAAUAUGCUGCAUUUAUUAAAAGAGAGCAAGGAUCUAUAGUUUCAGUUGCACAAUUGAAUGACUUCUCUAAAGCACCAACGUUCUAUGGUAAGCUCUCCAUUACCACUAUCAUAGGUGUUGUCAUUAUGUGUCUUGAGACUUCGUAUGUAGCUCACUCUGGACAAAUGCAAAGGUAUUUUUGCAAUAAGAAGGCCCUCAAGGCUCUUUAACUACUUUAUGUCUAAAGUUUUGAUUGGAGUUAACCCCUGAAAAGUUUCACACGUAAAUAUUCUUCUUCUACCUUGGUAGCCAUAAAAGUAUCUGAGUAAAUGUUGUGUCAAUCAUGCCCACAGCAAUUUAUCAUUGCACUGUUUACCUAUUUUCAGGACAUUUGUUGCACCAGCUAUUACGAUUGACGGAUCCUUCUCGGUCAAUGUUUAUAGAGCCUAUGAGCGGUUGGUGAGUAUCUCUUGAGUAGAACCGAAUUACUGAGUAUGUGAUUUAAACAAUAUAUUCUUUGUUAGUUAGUCUCCUAUUUUUAUUAGCUUUGAAUUAUGAGACUUGUAUAAGAUCUGAUAAGUUGGAAUCAUAUGUCAUUUAUUAAUUUGUUGUUUAGGUUUGAUGCUGAAGGACAUGAAUUACUAGGAUUGCACUUCAUCAAUCUAAUUGAGUCAUGGUAUGCGACUACCUGCUUUCAUUUAUUACUGGAAUUGUAGUGUUUUUGAAUGGGGGAAAAAGUGUGCAGAUUGUAUCUAUCUGUAAUACAGUUUCUGUAACUUAUCUCAUUAUCUUAUAUGAAACAAAUUUUGUAAUAGGAUAAUGAAAUUAGGUUCUUUCACCUGAUGCAUCUUUAAUUCAUAUUUAAAUCUUCUGUCAUAAUUAACUUAUCUAUUCUUAUUAUUUAUGUAAAUUUGUUUUUUUACUGGUCCAUGUGAAAGAACAUCUGCAGAUAUUUGUUUCAGACAUUGUUUGUACUAUUUCUCUGCUUCACUCAAUUGAUGGUUUUAACUUUAACAGUAUUUCUCAUAGUCACAAACAUGAGAGAAAAUGAUGAUGAGCAUCAGCUUUGUAGCCAUUUCUACAAGCAUCGUUAAAUACAAAACUAAAAUCCAUUUUAAAUAGGUUUUUUUUUCAUAUAUGCUCCUCAAAGCUUCCGAUUUUGUGUGAAUGUUGCUUAAAUUUGCAUUUUGCACAAAUGCCAUUCCAAUAAUGAUUUUUUGCACUAACAUCCUUGAUGUUAGCUAUUGUUAGCAGCAACGUCAGCGGAAUCGGUAUCGGGCACCGUACUAGUUGCUCGGCGGGACAAGUCAGUACGGGCUGCGCCGUGCCAGGCCCGUACCGACACAGUAGAAGAGAUGGGAGAAUGAAAAGAGGNNNNNNNNNNNNNNNNNNNNNNNNNNNNNNNNNNNNNNNNNNNNNNNNNNNNNNNNNNNNNNNNNNNGCCUCCGCCGGCCGGCCCUGACCGGCCUCUCUUCCUCUCUCUCUCUCUCCCUCCCUUCCUUGCUCUUUCUCUCUUUCUUCUUUUUUCUUCUCCUUCUCUCCCUCCGGCGAGGAUGACUUGGUUUCAAUGCCGGAACUAUUCCUGUCCGCCGCCAGUACAGCCCGGGACGCCUUGAAUCGGGCGGUUCGGAAUGGUUCUGCAGACCUUGGUUAGCAACCAUCAAUCUAACCUAAGGUCACAUUUCAUUGUACCAUGAUUUAAACAUAAUUUAUUUGCAAAAAUGAUAUAAAUUCCCUUAGAUUUGAAGGGAGGCAAACCAUCUUCUCUCGAGACCAUUCCAUGGUCGAGGGCAUACAUGUCAUUUCAUAAAAAAUAACUAGUUUUGACACCGUUCAACCGAUAAUUAAAAGCAAGGGCAUUGGCAUAGAAAAAUGAUAUUUCGAAGGGCACUCAUGCAAAAUGCAAAAUUACAGGGAAUACAUGCAAAAUCUGAAGUUUUGAGGGCUAUAUAUUGGAAAAACCACUUUUAAAUAUGCUUAUGUUCUGACAUUGGCUGGUACUAAUGCAUCACUACUUUUGCACGUAAGUCAUUGUUAGAAAUGGGUGUUGGGUUGUUGGGCUGCACCUUAGAUGAUGAGAAAACAGUACUGUUAUAGAAAAUCAGUCUGAUUUGAUGAAAUUCUUUUGUCAUCCUUAUAAACAAGCAUUGGAAGUGUUACCAGCAGUAAAUGCUACAAUAACUCAAUAUAUACAAUUUCAAUAUGCUAUUGCCUUCCAUAUAUAAGUUGCCCGCUUCAACAAGAAUGUUGCAUUUAUGUAGAUUAUAGUGGUGCUGAAAGGAUUUGAUUUCUGUGGUAUUUGGCUUCUUCCUGACCAGAUGAAAAGCUUCACUUGAUGUUUGCAUGGAAUGACAAUGCCUUAUUAUCACCUAAAUUAGGAAAACAGGCCUUUCUUUGUAGUUAAUAUUUUUUUCUCUAGAGAUUUUCCACUCCCUGACGAGUACCUGAGGCACAAUCAAACACAUCCAUCGCAUGUACACUCUAAUAGUUUAUGAUCUACAUCUACUGUCGGUGAUUCAUUACAGUUUAUAUGUUUGAAUUUGUGUAAUCAGAAGUCUAUUUUAAAUUUAUGUUUGAAAAUCUCUUAAGCUGUCAACGAAGUUCAUUUGAAGCAAACAAGACAAAAGAUGUAUACAACCAGUUAUAGUAUUGGUGAGCACUAUUCUGAUUCUGAGUUAUUGUACUCUGAAGAAGUCCUGUAUAUUGAAAUGUCUUCUACUGCUGCCCAAUUUUGCUGCCAAUACUGCUACGUAUUUAUACUUUUCCAAGUGUUUCACUGACCUGAUAUUUUGAAAAAUAAGAAAAACAAAGAUAACUAAUGCUUCAUAUGCAUAUUAUUGGUUCACAGUUCCAUAUAGUUUCUUUAACUUCACCCCAAUGGCCUUCUUUUAGCAGAUUUAUCUUAGGAAACAAUUAUUUUAUCACAAGUUUCUGCUCUUCGGACUUAACUAUAAACUUCGUCUCAAGGCUUCUGUUUAAGGAAGCAAGAUGAGGUGUAUGGGGAUGGUGAAGUCAACAAACUUCUAUGUUACAUAUACUUUCUGAAACAAAAGCUUUUAGCUUGUAGGUUAUGCUGCACUUUGUUUCUCUAGUUGUCUGUUUUCACCACUUCUAAUUUUUCCAGAGCAUGUUAGUUGUUAUAAUAAUGCCAAAACUUCUUUGGAAUGUUUCUGAAAACUCGUUCUUGCACUGGCUUCCUGAGCAUUUUUUAAUUUUUUGAGAGAUCUGCUUCCCCAUGUUUGCAUCUGAAUCUUUUCCUGCAGUGCUUUUGAUUUUUUGAGCAACUAAGCUAUGGAUCUACUACCAACUCGUUGAAAGUUUAUACUCAGCCACUAUAUCCGUGUUGGCUAUUUUUUCUAAGUGAUGAAUAAUAUUUAUGCUUUCUCAAGUCCAUUCGCCUCUUUAUUUUAUAUAGAACAUAAUUUUUCCUUCAAAUCUUGUUUGAUAUAGAUCCCAGGUAGUCAUCCUAACCUCCUACCACAAUUCAUUAUCACAAGAAGCACACAGGAAAUCUUCCCUGAGUUAGUAUUAUACUAUUAUCCAUGUGUUGAAAACAACUUGGUCCUUUCAAGGUUUACUGCAUGUGUUAUUACUUCCAGUAUUAUUAGUUAAUUUCUUUUCAAAACUGAUUCAUAAUUUUUUAUCAAAGACUUUCUGCGGAUGAAUGCU
This 24762-nucleotide long non-coding RNA is filed under the name Phoenix dactylifera (date palm). Its description in RNAcentral is "long non-coding RNA (PDAC_LNC002944)". Lineage: Eukaryota; Viridiplantae; Streptophyta; Magnoliopsida; Arecales; Arecaceae. The record is from RNAcentral.